UAGAAGGUCCUGCCUGCCCUGUGAUUAUGUAUUUAACGGCCGCGGUAUUUUGACCGUGCAAAGGUAGCGCAAUCACUUGUCCUUUAAAUUAGGACCUGUAUGAAUGGCAAGACGAGGGCUUAACUGUCUCUUUCUUAUAAUCAGUGAAAUUGAUCCCCCCGUGAAGAAGCGGGGAUAAACCCAUAAGACGAGAAGACCCUGUGGAGCUUAAAACAUAAGGAGGGAGUAUAUCAAGUUAAUUAAAGACUAGUAAUACCGGCCCUCCCCCUGUUUUUGGUUGGGGCGACCGCGGAAGAAAGCCUAUCUUCCAUGAAGAUUAAAAGUACAGACUUUUACAGACAAGAACCACCGUUCUAGUAAACAGAACAUCUGACCUCCUGAUCCGGCUAGCCGAUCAACGAACCGAGUUACCCCAGGGAUAACAGCGCAAUCCUCUUUUAAAGCCCAUAUCGACAAGAGGGUUUACGACCUCGAUGUUGGAUCAGGACAUCCUAAUGGUGCAGCCGCUAUUAAGGGCUCGU
RNAcentral lists this ribosomal RNA (521 nucleotides) under Acyrtops beryllinus (emerald clingfisn). RNAcentral's name for it is "partial large subunit ribosomal RNA". It matches the Rfam family "Bacterial large subunit ribosomal RNA", at positions 1846 to 2576 of the family's 2925-position model. Lineage: Eukaryota; Metazoa; Chordata; Actinopteri; Blenniiformes; Gobiesocidae. The record is from RNAcentral.